This 598-nucleotide ribosomal RNA is filed under the name uncultured bacterium. Its description in RNAcentral is "bacterial SSU rRNA". It matches the Rfam family "Bacterial small subunit ribosomal RNA", at positions 102 to 694 of the family's 1533-position model. The record is from RNAcentral.
ACGGGUGAGUAAUGCGUAGGAAUUUUUCUAGAUGAAGGGGAUAGCUUAGGGAAACUUAAGGUAAUACCGUAUAAGCCCGAGAGGGGAAAGCAGGGGACUGUAAUAGGCCUUGCGCAUUUAGGUGAGCCUACGUCGGAUUAGCUAGUUGGUUAGGUAAAGGCUGACCAAGGCGAUGAUCCGUAGCUGGUCUGAGAGGACGACCAGCCACACUGGGACUGAGACACGGCCCAGACUCCUACGGGAGGCAGCAGUGGGGAAUAUUGGACAAUGGGCGGAAGCCUGAUCCAGCAAUGCCGCGUGUGUGAAGAAGGCCUGCGGGUUGUAAAGCACUUUAGUUGGGGAGAAAGAGGCUUGUACUAAUACUACGAGCGGAUGAUGUUACCCAAAGAAUAAGCACCGGCUAACUCUGUGCCAGCAGCCGCGGUAAUACAGAGGGUGCGAGCGUUAAUCGGAAUUACUGGGCGUAAAGGGUGCGUAGGUGGUUGAAUAAGUUAGGUGUGAAAUCCCCGGGCUUAACCUGGGAAUUGCGCCUGAUACUGUUUAGCUAGAGUACUGUAGAGGGGAGUGGAAUUUCCGGUGUAGCGGUGAAAUGCGUAGA